GACGAACGCUGGCGGCGUGCCUAAUACAUGCAAGUAGAACGCACAGUUUAUACCGUAGCUUGCUACACCAUAGACUGUGAGUUGCGAACGGGUGAGUAACGCGUAGGUAACCUGCCUGGUAGCGGGGGAUAACUAUUGGAAACGAUAGCUAAUACCGCAUAAUAUUAAUUAUUGCAUGAUAAUUAAUUGAAAUGUGCAAUUGCACCACUACCAGAUGGACCUGCGUUGUAUUAGCUAGUAGGUGAGGUAACGGCUCACCUAGGCGACGAUACAUAGCCGACCUGGGAGGGUGAUCGGCCCAACUGGGACUGAGACACGGCCCAGACUCCUACGGGAGGCAGCAGUAGGGAAUCUUCGGCAAUGGACGAAAGUCUGACCGAGCAACGCCGCGUGAGUGAAGAAGGUUUUCGGAUCGUAAAGCUCUGUUGUAAGAGAAGAACGGGUGUGAGAGUGGAAAGUUCACACUGUGGCGGUAUCUUACCAGAAAGGGACGGCUAACUACGUG
RNAcentral lists this ribosomal RNA (505 nucleotides) under uncultured bacterium. Its description in RNAcentral is "partial 16S ribosomal RNA". It matches the Rfam family "Bacterial small subunit ribosomal RNA", at positions 28 to 507 of the family's 1533-position model. The record is from RNAcentral.